CUGUACAGAAAACGAUAUCGAAAACUACAUAAUGUCAUAUAGCCUUAAUACUAUUGUACAUAUCUAUAAAAAUGGGAACAGGAUAGUGCCUACACCUCUAAUUUAUGGAUCACUUAUCAAUAUAUUAUUUCACAAAUCUAUGGAAAUAACAAAAUAUCAUGAAAGAGAAACAGCGGAAUGUAUUUGAAAGAAUAACCAUUUCUCUCCAUAGAGUUGAUAUAAAAGAUAUAGAGAACGAGAAAGCCUACAGACGAAAACAGAAAUGGCACGGCUUCUCUCGAUUUGUUCGGCAGUUUUUAAGGAUAAAUAUUAUGGAGGGUAGACAUGUGAAGUAUCUCUCAUAUGGGAUAAAACUGAGAAGUGUCCAGCAGUACGAUAAAUAACAGUUCAAAAAGCUUCCAGAAUAGCGCAAGUGUAGACAAAGGAUGUGGUAUGAAUGUAGCAAUUGUAGAUGAAUUAUACAGAGUUAAAAAAUU
Diorhabda carinulata is the source of this 476-nucleotide long non-coding RNA. RefSeq lists it as uncharacterized. The transcript is spliced from 2 exons. NCBI's taxonomy places the organism in Eukaryota, Metazoa, Arthropoda, Insecta, Coleoptera, Chrysomelidae. The record is from RefSeq and is a predicted model, not a curated record.